This 1988-nucleotide ribosomal RNA is filed under the name alkali sediment metagenome. RNAcentral's name for it is "bacterial LSU rRNA". It matches the Rfam family "Bacterial large subunit ribosomal RNA", at positions 1 to 2007 of the family's 2925-position model. The record is from RNAcentral.
CAAACGCAAUAAGGCACACGGUGGAUGCCUUGGCAUCGAGAGGCGAUGAAGGGCGUGAUAAGCUGCGAUAAGCCUGGGGGAGCUGCACACAAGCCGUGAUCUCAGGAUGUCCGAAUGGGGAAACCCAGCCGGCGGCGACGCCGGUUAUCCCGCAAGGGAAGCCAACCCGGGGAACUGAAACAUCUCAGUACCCGGAGGAACAGAAAUCAACCGAGAUUCUCCUAGUAGCGGUGAGCGAACGGGGAAGAGGCCAAACCCGGGGAGCAUGCUCCCCGGGGGUUGUGGGACCACAACGUGGGAUGCACGACGCCAGAGUGAAGCGGCCUGGAAUGGCCCGCCAGAGACGGUGAAAGCCCGGUAACUAGACGCGUACGGCCCCUAGUGGGAUCCCGAGUAGCGCGGACCACGUGGAAUUCUGCGCGAAUCUGGGGGGACCACCCUCCAAGCCUAAAUACUCCUCGAUGACCGAUAGUGCACUAGUACCGUGAGGGAAAGGUGAAAAGCACGCCAGGUGGCGAGUGAAAGAGAUCCUGAAACCGUGUGCUGACAAGCGGUCGGAGGACACGCAAGUGUCUGACGGCGUGCCUUUUGCAUUAUGAUCCGGCGAGUUACUGAUCACGUGCAGGUUAAGGCCCUCAGGGCCGGAGCCAGAGCGAAAGCGAGUCUGAUAAGGGCGAUUCGUACGUGGUCGUAGACCCGAAGCCGUGGCGAUCUACCCUUGAGCAGGUUGAAGCCGCCGUAACAGGCGGUGGAGGACCGAACCCAUGUGGGUUGAAAACCGCUGGGAUGACUUGAGGGUAGGGGUGAAAGGCCAAUCAAGCUCGGAGAUAGCUGGUUCUCCCCGAAAUAUAUUUUGGUAUAGCCUCGGGAAAUGAGUUCACAGGAGGUAGAGCACUGGAUGGGUCCGGGUCGUGAAUAACGAUACCUCCCCCAACCAAACUCCGAAUGCCUGUUGAAUGCUGCCCGGGAGGCAGUCGCGGUGCGCUAAUGUACCGUGGCGAGAGGGAAAGAACCCAGAACCUCAGCUAAGGCCCCGGAGUGGCGGCUCAGUGUAGCAAAGGAUGUGGGUAUGCUGUGACAACUGGGAGGUUGGCUUAGAAGCAGCCAUUCCUUUAAAGAGUGCGUAAUAGCUCACCCCGCCGAAGCUAUGUCUUUGUGCGCAAGCACAAGGGGUAGGGGAGCGUUCCCAUAGCGUUGAAGCCGGGGCGGAAGCCUUCCGGUGGAGCGGUGGGAAGUGAGGAUGCCGGAUUAAGUACGCGAGAAACAGGGUGAAAACCCCUGUCACCGUAAGCCUAAGGGUUCCUGAGCCAUGUCGAUCAGCUCAGGGUCAGUCGGUCCCUAAGUCGAGGCCGAGAGGCGUAGACGAUGGGAAACGGGUCAACAUUCCCGUACCAACUGUAGGCCGUUAUGAGUCCGAGGAGGGACGCAGGAGCAAGGUUACCGGCGGGUGGUGGAUUUUCCGCUGCAAGGUGGUAGACGUUGCCCGGUAGGCAAAUCCGCCGGGUUAGUCGAGAACCGAUGCCGAAGGGGCCGCUAGGCCCCGUCAAGGGUGGCUGCCGCACACUGCCAAGAAAAGCUUCGCGGACCAGGACUGCAGUUGACCGUACCGUAAUCCGACACAGGUGGGCGAGGCGAGAAGCCUAAGGUGCUCGAGUGAUUUACGGAAAAGGAACUCGGCAAAAUUACCCCGUAACUUCGGGAUAAGGGGUGCCGGUUGUAGGUGACUCCGUACAGGAGAAGCCCAAGCCGGCCGCAGAGAAUCGUCCCAAGCGACUGUUUAGCAAAAACACAGGAGCGUGCUAAGGCAUUGUCCAAGCCGACGUAUACGCUCUGACUCCUGCCCGGUGCCGGAAGGUUAAGGCAAGCGGUUAGCCGCAAGGCAAAGCUGCGAACCGAAGCCCCGGUAAACGGCGGCCGUAACUAUAACGGUCCUAAGGUAGCGAAAUUCCUUGUCGGGUAAGUUCCGACCUGCACGAAUGGAGUAACGA